AGGGCCUUGGUCAAGGAAAGGACAAGAGGAAGUGCUUGAGAGAGCCAGAUCAAUAUUGACCAAGGUGCAGGUAUCUUGGGAACAGGAUGCCACAGAGACACUGCCCAGAGCCCAGAAGGCCCAAGUUAUGCGGAAGGCUGAGGUGAUGAGCUGGCAGAGUGGUGGCCCUGAGCAGAGGCUGAGUGCUGGCAUGAACAGUGUCUUGGGAGCAUGACAGCCCUCACCAUCCCCGUCUGUUGCUCCUCGAGCCACCUGUGCCUGAUGGGGCCCUCGCACUUGGUUCCAUGUGUCCUCGUGGUAACAGCACAGGGUGGGAGAGAAGGGACACCUCUUGGCUGGUGCCACUGCAUAUUGGGAUGUCCUAGGAAGCACUGGCCUAGCCACACCACCCAGGGCUCUUCAGGACUGGGCCAUGUACAGAAGGCUUUGUAGGGAGGGCCCAGGAUCUUGGUCAGGAGCAAGGUGCUGGCUGAGCCUCCCGUGGUGGCCACUGUCCUUUGCCCCGGUGGUCAGGGAGCUCAAAGGCACCAAGGGCCUGUUUCUAAGCUGUGCGUGCACUGGCUCAAGGGGGGAUGGCGCAGUUUAUUUAAGAUAAGCAUCACAAGGCACAUCCUGUGCCUGUCAUCCCCAACUGGACUCCAUGAGACAGCAUGACACUGGCUGCCAUGGGAAGAGCAAGUCAAAGUAAGCACCAUACACACACAGCGCCCAUGACAAACAGCACCCAGACACCUGGUUUCCAGGGCCAGGAGGCAGUGCCCACCUGCCCAGAGCGGCCAUACCCUUUACCAAGAGGUGGCGCUGGGCCCACCAUCCUCCCCAGUUUGCCUAACUGGGCAACAGGGGAGGCUCCUCAGUAGCAGGUCUGAAGACAGGCGCUGGUCUGACAACAGGGAAAGACAACAAAGCAAGUGAACCUCCUGAGACUUCAGUCAUUGAGGAUGCUGCAUGGACAGAGUGCUGAGCACCAGGCCAGAGGCCCAGGCAGAGGAAGUGGGCCCAGUCCUCACCCUGCUGGAAGACUCCAUUUGGUGGGCAUCUGGCUUCAAGUGCUUCAUAGUCCUUUCACAGUCCCAAAUCUGACAUUUGGCCCAUGCCCAAGACUACCAAAGUCAUUUAUCUCCAGCACUUCCUGCAUCUCCAGAGGGUGGUCUCCAAUACCUACUGGAGACUGUCAACUCAC
RNAcentral lists this long non-coding RNA (1183 nucleotides) under Cavia porcellus (domestic guinea pig). Its description in RNAcentral is "lncRNA (ENSCPOG00000036658.1)". The record is from RNAcentral. Lineage: Eukaryota; Metazoa; Chordata; Mammalia; Rodentia; Caviidae.